UACGUAGGGUGCAAGCGUUAAUCGGAAUUACUGGGCGUAAAGCGUGCGCAGGCGGUGAUGUAAGUCAGAUGUGAAAGCCCCGGGCUUAACCUGGGAACUGCGUUUGAGACUGGGAGACUUGAGUGUGGCAGAGGGGGGUGGAAUUCCACGUGUAGCAGUGAAAUGCGUAGAUAUGUGGAGGAACACCGAUGGCGAAGGCAGCCCCCUGGGUUAACACUGACGCUCAUGCACGAAAGCGUGGGGAGCAAACAGG
RNAcentral lists this ribosomal RNA (253 nucleotides) under uncultured bacterium. RNAcentral's name for it is "partial 16S ribosomal RNA". It matches the Rfam family "Bacterial small subunit ribosomal RNA", at positions 524 to 776 of the family's 1533-position model. The record is from RNAcentral.